CAAUAGCGUAUAUUAAAGUUGUUGCAGUUAAAAAGCUCGUAGUUGGAUUUCUGAUCGAGACAUCAGGUCGGGUCCGAGAGGAUCAUGUACUUUGAUUUUGUUUUGAUCAUCCUUGGGGAGAGCAUUUCUGGCAUUCAGUUGUCGGGAUUGGGAUCCUCAUCGUUUACUGUGAAAAAAUUAGAGUGUUCAAAGCAGGCCUCGGCCUCUGAAUACAUUAGCACGGAAUAAUAAGAUAGGACUUUGGUGGUCUAUUUUGUUGGUUUGCACGCCAAAGUAAUGAUUAAUAGGGAUAGUUGGGGGUAUUCGUAUUCAAUUGUCAGAGGUGAAAUUCUUGGAUUUAUGGAAGACGAACUACUGCGAAAGCAUUUACCAAGGAUGUUUUCAUUAA
RNAcentral lists this ribosomal RNA (388 nucleotides) under uncultured eukaryote. Its description in RNAcentral is "partial 18S ribosomal RNA". It matches the Rfam family "Eukaryotic small subunit ribosomal RNA", at positions 592 to 976 of the family's 1831-position model. The record is from RNAcentral.